This is a long non-coding RNA of Rhinopithecus roxellana (golden snub-nosed monkey), 655 nucleotides long. RefSeq lists it as uncharacterized. The transcript has 3 exons. NCBI's taxonomy places the organism in Eukaryota, Metazoa, Chordata, Mammalia, Primates, Cercopithecidae. The record is from RefSeq and is a predicted model, not a curated record.
UAGUGUGUUUUGCUGACUCCUGGCGCUCUGCCUCUUCCAUGAGAGGCGUUUUUGCACGAUUGCAGACAGGAAUAAAAAUGAGCUCUGCCUACUGGGCCAUCCUGGUUAGCAAGGUCUACACCACCUCAAAGGCAGCUAUGGACUAAGAGCCCACAAGGAAUCUCGGGUUAUGAGGGAGGGGCUGGCCAUGAAGACGGCUAAAGUGCCUCAUUUGUCUUCCCAGCAGGAAAGCGAUGGGACCUCGGCGGGCAGGAAACGCGAUCUCCACCCGUCUGGAAAACUCUCUGAGUUCUGGAGCACUGUUCGCGGCCGGACUGAGUGGCAUGUCCGCAUUUUCCCCAUUCCAGGGUAGGGCAGACUGAGUCUGGCGUGGUCCUGGUUACUGAGUGCUCCCCAUGGAAAAUGGCCAGGAGAGAGAGGGCCCCUUUGGCCCCUCUGAGAAGGUCCUCGCCUGGGCCCAGAACCACUGCUCAGAAGUCUCUUCAUUCUUCAUGGACUUAAGGACUGAACUGGCGCUUGAGGUGACCACAGGAAAGAGGAAAGUGAAAUGGCUGUCCAGGUGUGGCUCCUCUCUGGCGCUGAUCACUCCUUUCUGUCCCCGGACCAUUGAUAGGGUGGAGGACAAACAGCUGAGCAGAGACAGCUUCUUACCUGG